CAGUAGCCGCGGUAAUACGAAGGGUGCAAGCGUUACUCGGAAUUACUGGGCGUAAAGCGUGCGUAGGUGGUGGUUUAAGUCCGUUGUGAAAGCCCUGGCCUCAACCUGGGAAUUGCAGUGGAUACUGGGUCACUAGAGUGUGGUAGAGGAUAGUGGAAUUUCCGGUGUAGCAGUGAAAUGCGUAGAGAUCGGAAGGAACAUCUGUGGCGAAGGCGACUAUCUGGGCCAACACUGACACUGAGGCACGAAAGCGUGGGGAGCAAACAGGAUUAGAUACCCCAGUAGUCCCUGUCUCUUAUAA
Molecule: ribosomal RNA, 301 nt
Filed under: uncultured bacterium
Lineage: Bacteria
Description: partial 16S ribosomal RNA
Rfam family: Bacterial small subunit ribosomal RNA
Source: RNAcentral